RNAcentral lists this ribosomal RNA (211 nucleotides) under uncultured bacterium. RNAcentral's name for it is "partial 16S ribosomal RNA". It matches the Rfam family "Bacterial small subunit ribosomal RNA", at positions 113 to 334 of the family's 1533-position model. The record is from RNAcentral.
CAACAUGGGUCAUCUACCCCCACGGUGAGGAAUACCGGCGAGAAAUCGCCGACAAGACCGCAUACGCUCGCAAGAGCAAAGUCUCGCAAGAGACGCCUGGGGAUGAGCCUGUGGCCGAUUAGCUAGUUGGUGGGGUAAGCGCUCACCAAGGCGACGAUCGGUAGCUGGUCUGAGAGGACGAUCAGCCACACUGGGAUUGAGAACGGCCCAG